GUCUAUGGUCAUACCACCCUGAAGGCACCCGAUCUCGCCUGAUUUUGGAAGCUAAGCAGGGUCGGGACGGGUUAGUACUUGGAUGGGAGACCGCCUGAGAAUACCGGCUGCUGCAGGCG
RNAcentral lists this ribosomal RNA (119 nucleotides) under Ovis aries (sheep). The record is from RNAcentral. Lineage: Eukaryota; Metazoa; Chordata; Mammalia; Artiodactyla; Bovidae.